This 429-nucleotide ribosomal RNA is filed under the name Pseudomonadota bacterium. RNAcentral's name for it is "Proteobacteria bacterium partial 16S ribosomal RNA". It matches the Rfam family "Bacterial small subunit ribosomal RNA", at positions 355 to 776 of the family's 1533-position model. Lineage: Bacteria; Pseudomonadati; Pseudomonadota. The record is from RNAcentral.
UGGGGAAUAUUGGACAAUGGGCGAAAGCCUGAUCCAGCCAUGCCGCGUGUGUGAAGAAGGUCUUCGGAUUGUAAAGCACUUUAAGUUGGGAGGAAGGGCAGUAAGAGAAUACCUUGCUGUUUUGACGUUACCGACAGAAUAAGCACCGGCUAACUCUGUGCCAGCAGCCGCGGUACUACAGAGGGUGCAAGCGUUAAUCGGUAUUACUGGGCGUAAAGCGCGCGUAGUUGGUUCGUUAAGUUGAAUGUGAACGCCCCGGGCUCAACCUGGGAACUGCUUCCAAAACUGGCGAGCUAGUGGAGGGCAGAGGAUGGUGGAAUUUCCUGUGUAGCGGUGAAAUGCGUAGAUAUUGGAAGGAACACCAGUGGCGAAGGCGACCACCUGUGCUCAUACUGACACUGAGGUGCGAAAGCGUGGGGAGCAAACAAG